GGAACAGAUAUAGUGUCAUGGAGGGAGCAGCUCUAUAUUUUGAUGAUUGUUAAGUUUCUGCUUGUGCCAAGCAAGAGCAUUAUGUUUUCUGAAGCUGCUGUGUCAAAAUUAAAGAAAGCAAUUGCACUAUGUGGAUAAAUUAAAUUUAAAUGCGCAACUGGUAGCCCGGUAGUCAAGUCUUUGUCUUGUAGUGCAGGCAGUUAAGGUUUGAGGUUCCCCUCAAGUAUCCUUUACUUUGAACUGAAAGAAGGGGGCCUUUGUGUAUGAUCAUCAGUUAAGAUCUGCUGUUAUUUUAGAUAACUGCAAUUAUGUCAUUCAAAGUGACAGAAAUGGGUUUGGGGUG
Molecule: unclassified non-coding RNA, 343 nt
Filed under: Hevea brasiliensis (rubber tree)
Lineage: Eukaryota; Viridiplantae; Streptophyta; Magnoliopsida; Malpighiales; Euphorbiaceae
Source: RNAcentral